Molecule: ribosomal RNA, 595 nt
Filed under: Dyadobacter sp. TDB-106
Lineage: Bacteria; Pseudomonadati; Bacteroidota; Cytophagia; Cytophagales; Spirosomataceae
Description: bacterial SSU rRNA
Rfam family: Bacterial small subunit ribosomal RNA
Source: RNAcentral
ACGGGUGCGUAACGCGUAUGCAACCUACCUUCAACUGGGGGAUAGCCCGGGGAAACCCGGAUUAAUACCGCAUGACACAUUGGUAUAGCAUUAUAUUAAUUGUUAAAGAUUUAUUGGUUGAAGAUGGGCAUGCGUUCGAUUAGCUAGUUGGCAGGGUAACGGCCUACCAAGGCUACGAUCGAUAGGGGAGCUGAGAGGUUGAUCCCCCACACGGGCACUGAGAUACGGGCCCGACUCCUACGGGAGGCAGCAGUAGGGAAUAUUGGGCAAUGGAUGCAAGUCUGACCCAGCCAUGCCGCGUGCCGGAUGAAGGCCCUCAGGGUUGUAAACGGCUUUUAUUCGGGAAGAAGAGCGGGGAUGCGUCCCUGUGUGACGGUACCGAAUGAAUAAGCACCGGCUAACUCCGUGCCAGCAGCCGCGGUAAUACGGAGGGUGCGAGCGUUGUCCGGAUUUAUUGGGUUUAAAGGGUGCGUAGGUGGCUGAUUAAGUCAGUGGUGAAAUACAGCCGCUCAACGGUUGAGGUGCCAUUGAUACUGAUCAGCUUGAAAUAAUUGGAGGCUGCCGGAAUGGAUGGUGUAGCGGUGAAAUGCAUAGA